UCAAUCAUAGAUAUUAGAGUACAUAGGGAUUGGAAACGGGCCGUAGCAACAGGAAAAUGCUAGUUGAUAGUACCGUAAAUAAUUUCUCUAAAUACUCGUAUGUAAAAUUAAAAUGACUGAAAGUUGAAAAAGGUAACCCUUCAAUAAUGUUUAGACAUUCUUCCUGUUUGCCCAAGCUGUCAGCUGUAGCAAUGUAUCUGUUUGCAGUUUAAAUUCAGUGUUUUAUGAAUUAGCAAUCAUUAUUGAUCACAUUUACUAUAUUUAGUUCUAUUUUUUGUUUUGUACAACCUAUUGAAUAGAAAUGGUGUUGGCGACCUCCGGUGUGUUCUAAGCAAUACAAUGGUAUGAUAGCUAAUGUCACAGACCCUUUGGUUUUUAUGUUAAGGGUACAAAACAAACCUCUCAAACUAAUCAACAAAUCUAUUGUUACAGAAAGAUGCAACCGUAUUUCCAAACGAAACAUAGUGGGCGACCUCGACAUUAUGAAUCUCUAUUGAGUGGUUGAAUAAGUUAUUGUUUUCUGUCUAACACUACUGAGAUAAGGGUACAAAACAAAAUGUCAUUCUAAGCAUUCUCAUUCCAGAGCAAAUAUUCAGUGUAAAUGAUGAUGCUAGCAACAUAAAAAUUAGUCUGGGGAUAGAUGCCGGUCUCCUCUGCUUCCUUUGAUAUAAAUAAUGACGUAUAGUGACACCACUGCUGGAAUGACAGGUCUCAAAAAGACAGCUCUUGCUCAAAGACAGCCUCCGUUGCUAGGCGUUGCUACACGCCCAAGAGUUGGAACAUGGACCAGUCCUGAUACAGGCCUGAAUCAUUACUGAUGAUCGAGCCUGGACCGAGGAUUUGGGGCAAUGUCCUGAUCCGAUAUUGACGAAUCAGCCACGAUUUAUGCUGGUGCCAGACCUGAUCCGACAACGAUAACGAUAUUCAUUAAGCCUCAUUAUGACGUAAUUCCUGUUAUGCUUAAUUAAUACUUAAUUAUUAUUCAUUAUUAAUUUAAAAUGAUUUGGAAUUAUUAUUAAAACCAAAAAAAAGAUUAUAAUUGUUUUCUUCAUCAUAGUCUACCAAUGUUCCACAAGCAAGACACUUCAUGUUUUGUAACUUAAGACAC
Amphimedon queenslandica is the source of this 1108-nucleotide long non-coding RNA. RefSeq lists it as uncharacterized. The record is from RefSeq and is a predicted model, not a curated record. Lineage: Eukaryota; Metazoa; Porifera; Demospongiae; Haplosclerida; Niphatidae. The transcript has 2 exons.